GACGAACGCUGGCGGCGUGCUUAACACAUGCAAGUCGAACGGAAAGGCCCUGCUUGCAGGGUACUCGAGUGGCGAACGGGUGAGUAACACGUGGGUGAUCUGCCCUGCACUUCGGGAUAAGCCUGGGAAACUGGGUCUAAUACCGGAUAGGAGCCAUUUUUAGUGUGAUGGUUGGAAAGUUUUUUCGGUGUAGGAUGAGCUCGCGGCCUAUCAGCUUGUUGGUGGGGUAAUGGCCUACCAAGGCGGCGACGGGUAGCCGGCCUGAGAGGGUGGACGGCCACAUUGGGACUGAGAUGCGGCCCAGACGCCGACGGGAGGCAGCAGUGGGGAAUAUUGCACAAUGGGCGCAAGCCUGAUGCAGCGACGCCGCGUGGGGGAUGACGGCCUUCGGGUUGUAAACUCCUUUCGCUAGGGACGAAGCUUUUUGUGACGGUACCUAGAGAAGAAGCACCGGCUAACUACGUG
RNAcentral lists this ribosomal RNA (465 nucleotides) under uncultured bacterium. Its description in RNAcentral is "partial 16S ribosomal RNA". It matches the Rfam family "Bacterial small subunit ribosomal RNA", at positions 28 to 507 of the family's 1533-position model. The record is from RNAcentral.